AUUGAACGCUGGCGGCAGGCUUAACACAUACAAGUCGAGCGGGGUGAUGGUGCUUGCACUAUCACUUAGCGGCGGACGGGUGAGUAAUGCUUAGGAAUCUGCCUAUUAGUGGGGGACAACAUCUCGAAAGGGAUGCUAAUACCGCAUACGUCCUACGGGAGAAAGCAGGGGAUCACUUGUGACCUUGCGCUAAUAGAUGAGCCUAAGUCGGAUUAGCUAGUUGGUGGGGUAAAGGCCUACCAAGGCGACGAUCUGUAGCGGGUCUGAGAGGAUGAUCGGCCACACGGGGACUGAGACACGGCCCAGACUCCUACGGGAGGCAGCAGGGGGGAAUAUUGGACAAUGGGGGGAACCCUGAUCCAGCCAUGCCGCGUGUGUGAAGAAGGCCUUAUGGUUGUAAAGCACUUUAAGCGAGGAGGAGGCUCUUUUGGUUAAUACCCAAGAUGAGUGGACGUUACUCGCAGAAUAAGCACCGGCUAACUCUGUGCCAGCAGCCGCCGUAA
This 503-nucleotide ribosomal RNA is filed under the name uncultured bacterium. RNAcentral's name for it is "partial 16S ribosomal RNA". It matches the Rfam family "Bacterial small subunit ribosomal RNA", at positions 30 to 523 of the family's 1533-position model. The record is from RNAcentral.